GAAGGAAGCACCACUGUCCACCCCCCUGCCAUUCCUAACAGCAGUAUGUCCCCGGGAAUGGUUAUUUCUAUCAAAGUGUUAAGCUUCUGGCUUUCCAACAGUCCAGUUCUAAUUUCAAGGUCCACUUAAUUCUGCAUCAAGUAAUUACUGAUAUACCCAGAAGCACCUUGUCUCCAGAGUUAAGCAUAUGGUGAAGAACUGAGACCUACUGGUAUCCAUUAUGGAAGCAGCACGGAUGCCAAGCCGAUUAAAAAUGCUCAGGCUCCCUAUACAACACGCCGGGUGCCGUUAAAUGAGACACUCAGAAAGUGAGCGGAGGGAAAGAAAUUGCUGUCAUUACUUUUCAAGAAAGGAGGUAUGCAAAUUUUCGACAGAAAGAUUGCGUUCAUAAUGGGACUGGUAAAAUACAAGGAUCAUGCUUGACAGCUGGAACCAGUGUGCCUGGAUUCAAAUCUUGACUGUACUGAAAAUAUUCUGUGGACCCCACAGGGGUGGGGCACCACAGCACCCAAGCUUUUCCCAAUGUGGUGGGGACCAGGUGAACUUGGUUUAUGCCCAUGAGAAGCAGGCAUCCAUCCAUCCAUCCAUCCAUCCAUCCAUCCAUCCAUCCA
Molecule: long non-coding RNA, 611 nt
Organism: Erinaceus europaeus (western European hedgehog)
Lineage: Eukaryota; Metazoa; Chordata; Mammalia; Eulipotyphla; Erinaceidae
Exons: 4
Source: RefSeq, a predicted model, not a curated record